RNAcentral lists this long non-coding RNA (534 nucleotides) under Eucalyptus grandis. RNAcentral's name for it is "long non-coding RNA (EGRA_LNC001852)". The record is from RNAcentral. Lineage: Eukaryota; Viridiplantae; Streptophyta; Magnoliopsida; Myrtales; Myrtaceae.
GCGUACGAUCGCAUCGAGUGGGACUUUCUACAGGCUUGUCUAACACAAUUAAGCUUCUGUGAUUUCUGGAUUCAGAGGAUCAUGCAAUGCGUGAGCAUAGUAUCUUUCAGCAUAAACUUAAAUGGAGAGCCUUUACCUUCAUUCAAACCUACCCGUGGAUUGCGCCAAGGAGACCCCCUCUCACCUUACCUCUUUAUCAUCGUCGCCAAUGUGCUCUCCAUUCUAAUGAAGAAAGCUGUACAGGAGGGCUCUCUUACUGGGAUCAAGUUGAACAACCACUGCCCUACUUUAUCUCAUCUACUCUUUGCCGAUGACUCUAUCUUCUUCCUGCAUGGAACAAUUGUCGAAUGUCAGAACUUGGCUGGCCUCUUAAAUCAAUACUGUUUUGCCUCUGGCCAAGUAAUAAAUCUCAACAAAUCAGGCAUCUAUUUCAGUAAAGGAUGUCCUACAGCUCUCAGGAGAAACAUGGCAUCAACACUUCGAGUACCAGAAAUUACAAAGACAGGUAAGUAUUUGGGCAUACCUUCAGACUGG